Molecule: ribosomal RNA, 366 nt
Filed under: uncultured bacterium
Lineage: Bacteria
Description: partial 16S ribosomal RNA
Rfam family: Bacterial small subunit ribosomal RNA
Source: RNAcentral
CCUACGGGAGGCAGCAGUGAGGAAUAUUGGUCAAUGGGCGGAAGCCUGAACCAGCCAAGUAGCGUGCAGGAUGACGGCCCUACGGGUUGUAAACUGCUGUUAUACGGGAAUAACGCGCCUUACGUGUAGGGCUUUGCAUGUACCGUAUGAAUAAGGACCGGCUAAUUCCGUGCCAGCAGCCGCGGUAAUACGGAAGGUCCGGGCGUUAUCCGGAUUUAUUGGGUUUAAAGGGAGCGUAGGCCGCAUGUCAAGCGUGCUGUGAAAUGUCCGGGCUCACCCCGGGCCUUGCAGCGCGAACUGGCGUGCUUGAGUCCGCGGCACGCAGGCGUACUUCGUCGUGUAGCGGUGAACUGCUUAGAUAUGACG